RNAcentral lists this long non-coding RNA (392 nucleotides) under Mytilus galloprovincialis (Mediterranean mussel). Lineage: Eukaryota; Metazoa; Mollusca; Bivalvia; Mytilida; Mytilidae. The record is from RNAcentral.
UAUAGCCAAUCUAAUUAAAAACCGAUCUCUCAUCGCUCCUGUUUCUGAUAUGUCGCGUGGGAGAUCUAACGAAACCCGCUUUGAGGUCACAUGUGAGUGACCUCGUAGGUGUGUCUUUUUCGACCAAUGGAAUUGAGUCUUCCACGAUCUUGGAAGUUUAACGUAAGGCAAAGGGAUGUAACUCAUUUUAUUUACGACGAAAUCGUCAGUCAAAUAAUUCAUAAACUUUUUUGAUUGGCUUAUUAAUAGGUCGUCAACUCAUUUGCAUAUCUUUAUAAAUUCAUAACUUUUAGUUCACUCACAUGUGACCUCAAAGCCGGUUUCGUUAGAUCUCCCACGCGACAUAUCAGAAACAGGAGCGAUGAGAUAUCGGUUUUUAAUUAGAUUGGGGU